AUGGAGGCCACCGUGCACUCGUGCAAGCCCGUGAAGCCUGACUACGGUGACUGCGGCGUCGGUCCCUCCUCCGACGUCGUCCCUCUCAGCAUAUUUGACAAGGUGAGCUACGACGAGUACGUCACCGGCCUAUGCGCCUUCCACCCGCCUGCGCCGGCGAACAACGUCCUUGAGGCGGGGCUUGCUAAGGUGCUGGCCGAGUACCGCGAGUGGGCCGGGCGGCUUGGCGCGGACGACGGAGGCAACCGUGCCAUCAUGCUCAACGACGCCGGUGCACGGUUCGUCGAGGCGACGGCGGACGUCAUGCUCGCCAGCACCCUCAUGCAGCUGACCACGGGUGACAAGCUGCUGAGCCUGUUCCCGAGCUGCCACGGCGCCGACGAGCUGCUGCUGGCCCAGGUCACGCGGUUCCGGUGCGGCUCCAUCAUCAUUGGCGUCAGCAUGCAUCACAAGGUGGCCGAUGGGCACGCCAUCUGGACUUUCUUGUUCGAGUGGGGCCAGGCCACCCGCGGCGUCGCCAUCAGCCCCGUCCCGGUGCACGACCCGUAG
RNAcentral lists this ribosomal RNA (549 nucleotides) under Triticum aestivum (bread wheat). RNAcentral's name for it is "partial small subunit ribosomal RNA". Lineage: Eukaryota; Viridiplantae; Streptophyta; Magnoliopsida; Poales; Poaceae. The record is from RNAcentral.